Molecule: non-coding RNA, 86 nt
Organism: Pleurotus pulmonarius
Lineage: Eukaryota; Fungi; Basidiomycota; Agaricomycetes; Agaricales; Pleurotaceae
Source: the annotation of a GenBank genome assembly
UCUCUGUUAGUAUAUCGGUUAGUACACGCGCCUGUCAUUAUGUGAAUUGUCCGCGCGAAAGCUGGGUUCGACUCCCAGACAGAGAG